UGGUGGAUGCCUUGGCGCAUAGAGGCGAUGAAGGACGUGGUAGGCUGCGAGAAGCCAUGGGGAGCUGCCAACAAGCAUUGAUCCGUGGAUAUCCGAAUGGGGCAACCCGGCCCGUUAGGGUCAUCGUCGUCUGAAUUGAUAGGACGGCGAAGCGAACCCGGCGAACUGAAACAUCUCAGUAGCCGGAGGAAAGGACAUCAACCG
RNAcentral lists this ribosomal RNA (204 nucleotides) under Vitrella brassicaformis. RNAcentral describes it as "partial Bacterial large subunit ribosomal RNA". It matches the Rfam family "Bacterial large subunit ribosomal RNA", at positions 22 to 231 of the family's 2925-position model. The record is from RNAcentral. Lineage: Eukaryota; Vitrellaceae.